RNAcentral lists this microRNA precursor (58 nucleotides) under Ciona intestinalis (vase tunicate). Its description in RNAcentral is "Cin-Mir-124-P8_pre stem-loop". It matches the Rfam family "mir-124 microRNA precursor family", at positions 8 to 66 of the family's 72-position model. Rfam says of the family: The mature ~21nt miRNAs are processed from hairpin precursor sequences represented here, in this case originating from the 3' arm. The bounds of the precursors are predicted based on conservation and base pairing and are not generally known. Lineage: Eukaryota; Metazoa; Chordata; Ascidiacea; Phlebobranchia; Cionidae. The record is from RNAcentral.
CGUGUUUACUGUGGACCUUGCUGUGUGACGUCACAAUAAGGCACGCGGUGAAUGCCAA